GACGAGGGGUGCAAGCGUUAUUCGGAUUGAUUGGGCGUAAAGGGUGCGCAGGUGGUAAGUUAAGUCAACUGUUAAAUUUCUCGGCCUAACCGGGAGCAUGCAGUAGAUACUGGCUUGCUAGAGAUUGGAAGAGGGAAGUGGAAUUCUCGGAGUAGCGGUAAAAUGCGUAGAUCUCGAGAGGAACACCGAUGGCGAAGGCAGCUUCCUGGUCCAUUUCUGACACUCAUGCACGAAAGCGCGGGGAGCAAACAGG
This 253-nucleotide ribosomal RNA is filed under the name uncultured bacterium. RNAcentral's name for it is "partial 16S ribosomal RNA". It matches the Rfam family "Bacterial small subunit ribosomal RNA", at positions 524 to 776 of the family's 1533-position model. The record is from RNAcentral.